UAAAACAAAUACCUAUGUUUAUUCAAAAUCAAACUCAUUAAAAGUGAUCAAAAGAGUAUUGCAAUUCUUACCUCAACCAUAGCGCGACAUCGUACUAAAUUCGAAGAUCUCGCCCCCACCAUAUUACCUAAUUCUAUUCUACUUAUACAAAUUUAGAACUAAUCGUUAGUAUCUAUUAUCGGAAUCAAAUCUUAGGAAAACUAAAAUGCUUACCUUCAUAAUUUGGGUUUUGUUGUAAGCCUUUUGGGUUAAAGCCCAUGGUAUUGUUCUUAAUUUAACCCAUUAACCCUCGUUAAACUCCCUCGCAAAUACUUUAUUCUAACUUCUUAAUCAUUAUUCUUUAAUGUAUUCCUAUUUUUUUAUAUUUUUGAGAUAUUAGAUUUGCAUUUAUUGCUAAUAUUAUCAUCCUACUUCCCUUCACUGUUUAUUAUAAUUUUUCUUUGAUUAAAAAUUAAUUUUCUGGACUAUUAGCCCAAUCCUAGCCUUUGUUUCCUUAACCCAUAAAUUUUUCCUUUCUUAGGUAGGUGAAUAUUCUAUUCUAAAUGGGUCUUGGAUCAGAGGCCCAAUAAAACAUAUUUCAUUUUACUUAUUUGUAUGUAUAAAUUUAUAUAUUUUUAUCUAACCCGAAUUAUUUCUUUCCCCUGCAACCUGUCCAUAGAAACUUUGGUGCUCCUUUUUUUUAUUUUAAUUCUGCUUUAUUUACUUAUUAUAAUAUUUAUUUUAUUAAUUUUUAAUUUUUAAUUGGACCCGAAGCCCAACUCUAAUAGCCCAAAUUCUAUUUUCCUUAUUAUUAUUAUUAUUAUUGUUAUUAUUAUUAUUAUUAUAUUAUAUUUUUUUCUUACUAGCAGACCCAUCAGAGGGUUUAUUGGGCUCGGGUUUGAUAUAAGCCCACCAUGGAAUUGGAUCUAAAACCCAAUGGUUACACCGACCUGAACCAACCCAACAUCAAAACUCCUUCCAUCAUCUUCAACCUUUGAAAAUAUCAAUGGUACUUUAGUUUUAAUCCCAACCGCCAUCUACAUAACAGAACAGUCAACUCUUUCAAGUUUUGCUUAUUUAUAGCAUAAUACAUCAACAAUAUUCACAACAGUCAAUAGUUAUUACAAAUCAACAGCAAACAAAGAAUCUAAAUCAAAUAUAUUAGCUUAGAUCUAGGAAUUUAGAGUAUAAGCUACUCUUACCAGAAUUUCAAAUAGAAAAGAAGCUCGCUCAGAUCAGAGGGCAUCGCGUCGUGCACCAGGUCAUCGUUCCUCAUUCUCAUUCUUCUCCUUUGCGACCAACGGGUCGCGCAGCACCUCGGGGCCAUGCAACCCACCUCUCUUUGGCUGCCGGCUCAACACUCCUCGACCUCACAUGCUGCGCACACCAGGCAAGGAUCUUUUCCUUUUCAGCCUCCCUCCUCCUUCGGCUGCUCGUUCCUCCCUCUUCUCCCUCUCUUUUCUCUCUCUCUCUAUUUUGGCUCUCCUCUUCCGAAUUUGAGGAAAAGUGGUUAGGGUUUCCUUUUUUAUACCUUUCAUCUUAACCGUCUGAUCGUCCUAGAUCCAAUCUGAGCUGUUCAAGCAUAUCUGAAUUGAGAGCUGUUGGAUCGGCUCCAAACGUUGAGAUCUUGGCCGUCCAUUUUUUAUCUUUGUAUCUACCCCUUCUAUUCUUUGUUAAUUAUGGUUUUAACCCCAUUUUCCAUGAAAAUUAUUCUUUUAGGUCUCAUAAAUUUAAAAGACCUCUAAUUUUAAAAAUUUAUUCAGUUAAGCCCCAAACCCUUAAUUUAAUUGAUUUAAUUUCUAGAUUUUAAAUUUCUUCAUAUUUAUUUAAUUAUUUACAAUCUUUUAAAUUUAUAUUUAAAAAAAAAUGGAUAUUACGACUUUCUAAAUUUAUCUCUUAAUUAAAAAUGAAGAGAUAAAUUAAAUAACACUUAGAAAAAAAAUUAAAAUAUUAUAAUAUAUAAGCAUAUAAUCCUUUGUCCCUUAGAGUGCCUCAUAACCGUCUUUACAACUUUCUAGUGUUUAAUUCCUAGAUCACUUUGGUAUCUUCCUAACAUACUAACAACAUAACUGAUAUUUCGUUUAGUAUAAGUUUGAGCGUAUAUCAAGCUUCCCACAACAGAUGUAUAAGUAUUUUUUUUUCAUCCAUUCCUUUUCUAAGUCAUUCAUUG
This 2149-nucleotide long non-coding RNA is filed under the name Carica papaya (papaya). RNAcentral's name for it is "long non-coding RNA (CPAP_LNC012986)". Lineage: Eukaryota; Viridiplantae; Streptophyta; Magnoliopsida; Brassicales; Caricaceae. The record is from RNAcentral.